Molecule: ribosomal RNA, 1404 nt
Filed under: Triticum aestivum (bread wheat)
Lineage: Eukaryota; Viridiplantae; Streptophyta; Magnoliopsida; Poales; Poaceae
Description: partial small subunit ribosomal RNA
Source: RNAcentral
AUGGAUGCGCUCCUCAGCGCGGCGCAAUGGGUGGUGAGCCAGGCGCUGGCCCCCGUUGCUGAUGGCAUGCUGCAGGCCUGGGGUGACACCAAGAACUUGGGUCUCAACAUUGAGGCCUUGAGGAUGGAGUUGCUGCUCGUGAAGGCCACCCUCGAAACUGCCAGCCACAAGCAGGUUGAUGGCCCGGCCAUGCAGGAGCUGCUGGGGAAGCUGCGGGACUCAGCGCUCUCUGCCGAGGAUUUGCUGGAUGAGCUGGACUACUUUCGCAUCCACGACAAGCUCAACGGCACAUCCGAUGCUGCAGACCAGCAUGCCAAGGGCGGGGUCCACGACCUUGCCCUCAAUGCUCGUCACUUCGCCAAAGCUGUUGGCAAACUGCCAUUUAUAUCCUCAUUCUGUUGUUCUGCUCCCAGCCCUGCAGGCGUUGGUAGAGAAGUAGAAGAGGCAAGACAGCGGGCAAGCUGUUGCGCUUUGCCGCGUGCUAUGCAGAGGUCACGCGGGAAUUCCUCCUCCGCACCAAAUGCCAAUGAGGAGGUCAGUGGAUGCAUGCCCAAGCUCGGUAAACUCCUCCCUUGCUCAUCUUCCCCACAUGUCCAUGAUGAUCGUUCUGGCCAGCCAACUCUUUGUGGUGCGCCACAUGGAGAAACACCAAUGCCGCAGUUUAAUAGGGCUCAUAUCUCUGAAAGAAUGCGCCACAUUGUAGAGCAACUGCAGUCUGUGCGUAAAGAGGUUACCCAGAUUCUGCAGAGUUGUGACCCUAUGACUAUCCCAGAUAUUUCCCAGAGUCGUCCCAUCACCACCAGUCAAAGUAUAGAGCCAAAAUUGUAUGGGAGGGACCAUAUCAUGGAUACCAUCAUACAUGAUAUGACCAACGGUAAAUACCUUGGCCAUGAUGUAACUGUGCUUCCGAUUGUCGGUCCAGGAGGAAUAGGAAAAACAACUCUGAUACAACACAUACAUAGAAACCAACAAGUUCAAAAUCAUUUUCAAGUCAUUAUUUGGAUAUGUGUGUCACUCAGUUUCAAUUUGAAUAAGCUGCUAGAAGAGAUUAAAACAUGCAUCCCUCCAGUUGAAGGGGAAAAAGAUGGCAAGGUAGAAGAUCUGAUUGAACAGAGAUUAAAAUCUAAAAGGUUUUUGCUUGUACUGGAUGAUAUAUGGGAGUUUAGUGACAGGGAUGAUUGGAAAAGGUUAUUGUUGCCACUCAAAACAUCACAAGAACCGGGUAGCAUGAUUCUAGUCACAACUCGGUUUCCAGAAAUAGCAAAGAUGGUUGGAACAGUUAAUCAUAUUGAAUUGCAGGGAAUAGAAUCCGAAGAAUUUAGGAAGUUAUUCCUUGCAUUUAUCUUUGGCAAUGAGCCUGUUAGAAGUGACAGUAUUGUUUGCUCGAGAUUGGAAAUAAGAUAA